ACCGGUGGUCAUAGCAGAGUGGAAAUACCCGUUCCCUUCCCGAACACGGAAGUAAAACGCUCUAACGUCGAUGGUACUGCGGCUUGUCCGUGGGAGAGUAGAAAGCUGCCGGUU
RNAcentral lists this ribosomal RNA (114 nucleotides) under Spirochaetales bacterium. Lineage: Bacteria; Pseudomonadati; Spirochaetota; Spirochaetia; Spirochaetales. The record is from RNAcentral.